RNAcentral lists this long non-coding RNA (785 nucleotides) under Homo sapiens (human). RNAcentral describes it as "HSALNT0396771". The record is from RNAcentral. Lineage: Eukaryota; Metazoa; Chordata; Mammalia; Primates; Hominidae.
CCUCACUCUACGUCACAGAAUGCGCUUUUCCAGAAGCUAAGCAGAGGAGCUGGGCUCCAGAGAGAGGAAGGGGCUGAGAAAAGCACAGGCGGAGAAAAGACGAUUUUUCUUACAGGGCUAAAAUGCAGGGGACUUCCUUAUCCUGCCGACUUAGAGAAGCCCGGCCCCUUGUGAUCCAUUGCUGAAAGCCGCCUCGUGUUUGAAAAACGGAUCCGCUCCCAACUUCAGUGGAAGGACAUGACAUGUAGCACGAGGAAAGAUUGUGGCAUAUUACUGAACUAAGCAACCUAGUGACGUGUCUCUUCUGACUGGGGCUUGCCCACAGAGACAACUGUGACAUAGCACUGAGCCCAGGACCCAGGUGAUGUGACUCUGCUGCCUGUUUCCAACAUUCAUGAGAGGAUGGUAACUAUCCCUUGCCAAGAACUCAGGUGAUUUGACUGUCCUGCCUUGUUGCUGCCCUCAGAGAAGAUUGUGAUAUAUCUUCAGCCCCAAACCCAGUUUUUGCCCACAGGGGAGAUUGUGACAUAUCACUGGGCCUCAAACUAAGGUGAAGUUACACUUUCAUUUUCGAACUGUACUCAGAAGGCAUCGUGACAUAUUCCUGGGCCCAGCACCAAGGUGAUGUGAGUCUCCUGCCUGCACUUUGCCCACAAAUGGCAUUGUAACAUAUCUUUAGACCUAUCAACUACUUGAUAUGACUUAUUUUUUUAAAGUGAAAGCAAGUUUAUUAGAGAAGUAAAUAAACAAAAGAAUGGCUACUCCAUAGACAGAGAAGACCUCAG